Molecule: ribosomal RNA, 301 nt
Filed under: uncultured bacterium
Lineage: Bacteria
Description: partial 16S ribosomal RNA
Rfam family: Bacterial small subunit ribosomal RNA
Source: RNAcentral
CAGUAGCCGCGGUAAUACAGAGGGUGCGAGCGUUAAUCGGAUUUACUGGGCGUAAAGCGUGCGUAGGCGGCUUCUUAAGUCGGAUGUGAAAUCCCUGAGCUUAACUUAGGAAUUGCAUUCGAUACUGGGAAGCUAGAGUAUGGGAGAGGAUGGUAGAAUUCCAGGUGUAGCGGUGAAAUGCGUAGAGAUCUGGAGGAAUACCGAUGGCGAAGGCAGCCAUCUGGCCUAAUACUGACGCUGAGGUACGAAAGCAUGGGGAGCAAACAGGAUUAGAUACCCCGGUAGUCCCUAUCUCUUAUAC